This is a non-coding RNA of Acanthosepion pharaonis, 97 nucleotides long. The record is from the annotation of a GenBank genome assembly. Lineage: Eukaryota; Metazoa; Mollusca; Cephalopoda; Sepiida; Sepiidae.
UUACAAUACCUGUUCUCAUCCAAUCACAGAAGUUAAGCAACUUCAAGCCUGGUUAGUACCUAGAUGGGUGAUCGUGUGAGAAUAACAAGCGCUGUAA